This is a long non-coding RNA of Carya illinoinensis, 823 nucleotides long. RefSeq lists it as uncharacterized. The record is from RefSeq and is a predicted model, not a curated record. The transcript is spliced from 2 exons. Lineage: Eukaryota; Viridiplantae; Streptophyta; Magnoliopsida; Fagales; Juglandaceae.
UUUGAUGGAAGAGUCGUUUUAGUUGAGGAUGAUUCACAUGCUAUAAGUAGGAGUGAGCAAAGCAUGUCAAAUCAAAUUUUUAUGUUGUUGUAAUGUGAAAUCAAAUUGAUCAAUUAAUUAUGAUGAUUCUACUCGUGGGAUCAAAUAAUAUAGCAUAAAUUUGUGAUUAGAUAAUAUAGCAUCAUCUAUGUGCAUGCUAAAUAUGCUUUGAGAUUUUGACAAUAUUUAGCUGUUUGCAAGUUGAGAGUCCCCGGAUGCUGUGUUCAUUGCAAAAGAAUGUGGCAGCUAUUGGAGUUGCACUCCAGGCUUUGUACUAGUUAUGAUGUUUGUAGGGUGCCUUUUGCGCAGGAGAUACGAUUCCUGAGUGGUUCAACCACUAUAAGGAAGCUUCAAAUAAUACUGAAUCAUGUGAAAUAGAUAUCGAUGGGAGUGAUCUAUAUUUGGAUGAGCUAAGAGGAAUAGCUCUUUGUGCUGUUAUUAAAGCAGAUUCUGAAAGAUUUGCAUUUGAUCUCUUCCAUUUUCUAGUGUUGUUGAGAUCACUAUUAACAUGCGCACAAAUAAUAUAAUAGCUCUUUGUGCUGUUAUCAUAGGGAGUACUAAUUUGCUCUAGAGGCUUUUAAGCCAGACGAGAAAGGUCUGAAUGUUGAGUUUUCUUGUAAUUCAAGCUCAUUAUACAUUAAAAGUUGCGGAGUCCAUUUGGUAUGUAAGCAUGUAGAGAACACAAAAGAUCAUUUAGAUGUCCUCUACCUAUGAACAUGACUACGACUUAAAUCUGACUGCCAUCGACAACACAACAUGAAUGACGAUUCUAAGUUUUUCUUCA